This is a long non-coding RNA of Biomphalaria glabrata, 1089 nucleotides long. RefSeq lists it as uncharacterized. Lineage: Eukaryota; Metazoa; Mollusca; Gastropoda; Planorbidae. The record is from RefSeq and is a predicted model, not a curated record. The transcript is spliced from 3 exons.
AUCUAAAUAAAAAGUUUUAAACAGAUAUGUCUUAUUAAUGUUCUUCUUGAAUUUAGUGUAGCAUGUCUGUCUGAGAUCAAUGGGGAGUGAGUUCCAAACCUUUGAUCCGUGCACAGAAAUUGCCCGCAGACCGUAGCUUGUGAGGAAGUUAUAGUUCUAACAUGUGUUGCCUAUAGGUAAAUCCGGCCCUGGUAUAAUACUAAGUUUAAUUUGAUGUAGGCCCCCCAACCUAAGACAAAGGUAACGGUAGUCGCGAGAUUGUACUUUAAAUCCUAAUUAUUUCAAAUAAAAGUGUCUCCAGGGCUACUAACUCUGAUCAAACUUCAAUUUUGUAUUGUUUAUAUUUCUCUCUUUUGGAUGACGAGUUUGCCGACCACUGAUCAAAACACAGAUCUCUUCUUUGUAAUAUAAAAAGGGAACAUCAUACAAAUUGCUAGAAAUUAUUACCUCUGAGAAGCAGACAGUAAAUAAAAAUGCUAAAAAAAUUGGUGUAUCAAUAAUUCUUUAAGGCAAGUAGUCAUUGACAAAGGUAGAAUUUAACAAUUUUGAAUUUAAUGUCAUUGUCAUAAAAUUUUCCUAAUAACCAAGGGCAAGCUAUUAAACCACUGAUUUAGCAAAGCAAAUAUCUAUCAUGAAGAUGUAGACCAGCAUGAUGAAGAUGUAGACCAGCAUGAUGAAGAUGUAGACCAGCAUGAUGAAGAUGUAGACCAACAUGACGAAAAGGUAGACAUGUACAUGUAGACCAACAUGAAGAUGUAGACCAACAUGAAGAUGUAGACCAACAUGAAGAUGUAGACCAACAUGAAGAUGUAGACCUACAUGAAGAUGUAGACCAACAUGAAGAUGUAGAUCAACAUGAAGAUGUAGACCAACAUGAAGAUGUAGACCAACAUGAAGAUGUAGACCAACAUGAAGAUGUAGAUCAACAUGAAGAUGUAGACCAACAUGAAGAUGUAGACCUACAUGAAGAUGUAGAUCAACAUGAAGAUGUAGACCAACAUGAAGAUGUAGACCAACAUGAAGAUGUAGACCAACAUGAUGAAAAGGUAGACAUGUACAUGUAGACCAGCAUGAAGAUGUAGACCAACA